CGAGCCGAAGGGGUGGGCGCUGC
RNAcentral lists this microRNA (23 nucleotides) under Gallus gallus (chicken). Its description in RNAcentral is "gga-miR-1581". Lineage: Eukaryota; Metazoa; Chordata; Aves; Galliformes; Phasianidae. The record is from miRBase by way of RNAcentral.